RNAcentral lists this ribosomal RNA (634 nucleotides) under Salmonella enterica subsp. enterica serovar Infantis. RNAcentral describes it as "partial 23S ribosomal RNA". It matches the Rfam family "Bacterial large subunit ribosomal RNA", at positions 2170 to 2803 of the family's 2925-position model. RNAcentral also lists the same sequence under 1 other name. The record is from RNAcentral. Lineage: Bacteria; Pseudomonadati; Pseudomonadota; Gammaproteobacteria; Enterobacterales; Enterobacteriaceae.
GCCAGUCUGCGUGGAGCCGACCUUGAAAUACCACCCUUUAAUGUUUGAUGUUCUAACGUGGAUCCGUAAUCCGGGUUGCGGACAGUGUCUGGUGGGUAGUUUGACUGGGGCGGUCUCCUCCUAAAGAGUAACGGAGGAGCACGAAGGUUGGCUAAUCCUGGUCGGACAUCAGGAGGUUAGUGCAAUGGCAUAAGCCAGCUUGACUGCGAGCGUGACGGCGCGAGCAGGUGCGAAAGCAGGUCAUAGUGAUCCGGUGGUUCUGAAUGGAAGGGCCAUCGCUCAACGGAUAAAAGGUACUCCGGGGAUAACAGGCUGAUACCGCCCAAGAGUUCAUAUCGACGGCGGUGUUUGGCACCUCGAUGUCGGCUCAUCACAUCCUGGGGCUGAAGUAGGUCCCAAGGGUAUGGCUGUUCGCCAUUUAAAGUGGUACGCGAGCUGGGUUUAGAACGUCGUGAGACAGUUCGGUCCCUAUCUGCCGUGGGCGCUGGAGAACUGAGGGGGGCUGCUCCUAGUACGAGAGGACCGGAGUGGACGCAUCACUGGUGUUCGGGUUGUCAUGCCAAUGGCACUGCCCGGUAGCUAAAUGCGGAAGAGAUAAGUGCUGAAAGCAUCUAAGCACGAAACUUGCCCCGAG